Long non-coding RNA from Neodiprion virginianus, 703 nucleotides. RefSeq lists it as uncharacterized. The record is from RefSeq and is a predicted model, not a curated record. Lineage: Eukaryota; Metazoa; Arthropoda; Insecta; Hymenoptera; Diprionidae. The transcript has 4 exons.
UCAGAAGAGACAAAAAGAGGGAGAGAGCGAGAGGAGAGACGUAUCUCGACAGAGCGGUGUCUAAAUUUGGUUUCACGUGACGAUCACGUAAUCGUAGGUUAGUAACGUUGCUUCGUGCCAGUCAAAUCCGCGGACGCUUUAUUAGAAUUUAUCGAGCGACGCUGAGACGGUCAUAGCAGGUGGGAAGAAAAAGCGGUCCGCGUUUCACGGCUGCUGCGGCGUUACGACGGGGGGAAAAGAGGCGUCGAGAUCGGUCGCCGGAUUGCAAACCGAAGAAACUGGUGCGGAAAUAACGAUACCACAAGAGCACAUACGAACAGUCCGCAGCCAUAACCGUGCCUACCAAGAACGACCGAGGCCCGCGGAUUUAAAUGCUAGCUAGAAUCUAAUGACGAUGACUGCACCAUCUUCCCGGAUUUCGCAACUGACCUCUGCGCGUUUCGCACGUAGAGAUACGGAACCGCAAACACCGCGAACGAAGAAGAAUUGCUCAGACGGGGAUUGAGCGUCGCCAGUUUCUGGAAUAUGAGAAAUAGACACGGAUUGCAGCCCGCGGAUGAAGAACCAGUUGCUCCAUAUAUAUAUAUAUAAAUGUAUAUAUGUAUACUACUGCUACGAAAUACGUACGUCAUGCGUAACUUUAUUGUGUAUACUUGGAAAAUAAAUGUGGUGCGAUAUCUUGUACUUCACCGUCGUAAGAUGA